RNAcentral lists this ribosomal RNA (156 nucleotides) under Candida albicans. RNAcentral's name for it is "5.8S ribosomal RNA". The stretch from base 1 to 65 matches the Rfam family "5.8S ribosomal RNA", at positions 90 to 154 of the family's 154-position model. The record is from RNAcentral. Lineage: Eukaryota; Fungi; Ascomycota; Pichiomycetes; Serinales; Debaryomycetaceae.
CAUCGAAUCUUUGAACGCACAUUGCGCCCUCUGGUAUUCCGGAGGGCAUGCCUGUUUGAGCGUCGUUUCUCCCUCAAACCGCUGGGUUUGGUGUUGAGCAAUACGACUUGGGUUUGCUUGAAAGACGGUAGUGGUAAGGCGGGAUCGCUUUGACAA